This 435-nucleotide ribosomal RNA is filed under the name uncultured Anaerovorax sp. RNAcentral's name for it is "partial 16S ribosomal RNA". It matches the Rfam family "Bacterial small subunit ribosomal RNA", at positions 341 to 792 of the family's 1533-position model. Lineage: Bacteria; Bacillati; Bacillota; Clostridia; Peptostreptococcales; Anaerovoracaceae. The record is from RNAcentral.
ACGGAAGGCAGCAGUGGGGAAUAUUGCACAAUGGGGGAAACCCUGAUGCAGCAACGCUGCGUGAGCGAUGAAGGUCUUCGGAUCGUAAAGCUCUGUCCUUAGGGACGAAGAAGUGACGGUACCUAAGGAGGAAGCCCCGGCUAACUACGUGCCAGCAGCCGCGGUAAUACGUAGGGGGCGAGCGUUAUCCGGAAUUAUUGGGCGUAAAGAGUACGUAGGUGGCUGCGUAAGCGGGAGGUGAAAGUCCGGGGCUUAACUCCGGUCAGCCUUUCGAACUGCGUGGCUUGAGUGCAGGAGGGGAAAGUGGAAUUCCUAGUGUAGCGGUGAAAUGCGUAGAUAUUAGGAGGAACACCAGUGGCGAAGGCGACUUUCUGGACUGUAACUGACACUGAGGUACGAAAGCGUGGGGAGCAAACAGGAUUAGAUACCCUGGUA